UACGUAGGUGGCAAGCGUUGUCCGGAUUUACUGGGCGUAAAGGGCAGGCAGGCGGACUACUAAGUAGGAAGUGAAAGGUUGGUGCUCAACACUAACACUGCUUCCUAUACUGGCAGUCUUGAGUCCCGGAGGGGAAAGCGGAACAAUACGUGUAGCGGUGAAAUGCGUUGAUAUGUAUUGGAACACCAAUGGCGAAGGCAGCUUUCUGGACGGUGACUGACGCUCAUCUGCGAAAGCCGAGGUAGCGAACAGG
RNAcentral lists this ribosomal RNA (253 nucleotides) under uncultured bacterium. RNAcentral's name for it is "partial 16S ribosomal RNA". It matches the Rfam family "Bacterial small subunit ribosomal RNA", at positions 524 to 776 of the family's 1533-position model. The record is from RNAcentral.